This 353-nucleotide transfer-messenger RNA is filed under the name Jannaschia helgolandensis. RNAcentral describes it as "Alphaproteobacteria transfer-messenger RNA". It matches the Rfam family "Alphaproteobacteria transfer-messenger RNA". Rfam says of the family: Bacterial tmRNA, also known as 10Sa RNA or SsrA, is named for its dual tRNA and mRNA-like properties. Its role is to liberate the mRNA from a stalled ribosome. To accomplish this part of the tmRNA is used as a reading frame that ends in a translation stop signal. The record is from Rfam by way of RNAcentral. Lineage: Bacteria; Pseudomonadati; Pseudomonadota; Alphaproteobacteria; Rhodobacterales; Roseobacteraceae.
UGACUUGAAUCGGACCACGGAACAGACUAUGUUCACUUUGUCUUCUUCGGAGGACUAUGGCGAUAAACGCGCCCGUAAUAAGCGGAUCGGACCCGGGGGCGGUACCCGGCGACUCCACCAUACAUCCCGUAUUGGGGGAUCAUGGGGUCGAAACAGGAUCGACGGACGUCUAAAGGGGUAAUGCUUUCGCUCGGUGAGUUACCACCGUUAUCGGUACAAAAUGUACAGUUGCCAAUAUCAACCGUGCUCCGGUCGCCGUCGCAGCGUAAGCUGCGUCGAGACCGAAACUUAAGCCCUUGCGCCUAGCAGCGUAAGGCGGGGUUCGCAGGCACCUGGCAACAGAAGCCUGCACU